CAAUAGCGUAUACUAAAGUUGUUGCAGUUAAAAGCUCGUAGUUGAAUUUCUGGUCGUGAAACGUGGUCCGUUCCGCAAGGAAUGUGUACUGUCGAUUUAUGUCCAUCCUCGGUGUUAGUAUGCAUUACUUUAAUCGGUCGUGUAUACAACCACCGUCAUUUACUGUGAGCAAAUAGAGUGUUCAAAGCAGGCUUAUGCCGUUGAAUAUAUUAGCAUGGAAUAAUAAGAUAUGACUUUGGUCUAUUUUUGUUGGUUUGCACUCCAAAGUAAUGAUUAAUAGGGAUAGUUGGGGUGAUUCGUAUUCAAUUUGUCAAGUAGGUGAAAAUUGCUUAUGGUAGUUUUUAUGGGAAAGACGAACUACUGCGAAAGCAUUUACCAAGGAUGUUUUCAUUAAUCAAGAACGAAAGUUAGGGGA
This 415-nucleotide ribosomal RNA is filed under the name uncultured eukaryote. Its description in RNAcentral is "bacterial SSU rRNA". It matches the Rfam family "Eukaryotic small subunit ribosomal RNA", at positions 592 to 997 of the family's 1831-position model. The record is from RNAcentral.